RNAcentral lists this long non-coding RNA (2348 nucleotides) under Homo sapiens (human). Its description in RNAcentral is "HSALNT0403990". The record is from RNAcentral. Lineage: Eukaryota; Metazoa; Chordata; Mammalia; Primates; Hominidae.
AGCCCAUCUGCACCCAGGCGCUCACUGAAACAGUGUGUUGCUCCACACCGCCUUGUUUUGCUUGUUGGCGCGCUCUCAGGGUUCCGACCAAUCCAAGAGCCUUGCAGAAAGCAUUAACGUGCUUUUCUCUUUGGCAGAGUUUUUCUUUGCUCUGAUCUUGGAGACAUCCCUCUGCCUAGUGGAAACAUAAGGAAUACAGAAAGAAUGCAAGGAGAUAGACCAACGUGAGAUUCUCCUUCAUGCACUCAAGAGAAAGAUGUUGCAGGAAGAGCUAGUCUUUCAGGCUGGGCUGGUGACCUGAGAAAGAAUGUCCAGCUUUUCUUCUCCACUUGGCAUAUCAAGAGCCAGGCGUGGAAGACUAAAACAGGAAAUGUUUAUAAAAACUGUUCAGCGGUUCGCCAACAAGAAGUGGUAAAGUAGCAAAAAUGGGGAUGGAGAUGCCAGGAGGAAAGAUGCCAGGGGUAAAGUGGGAAAAUGGGAACCUGAAGCCAGGAGGUCAAGCCAAGCCAACAGGUGUUCUGUUUUUCAAUGAGGAGGUGGGGCACAGGAUGGAUGGAAACUUUCCACAGUCACAGAACUAAUAAGUGGUGCUGAGGACUCAAACCCGGGGAAGCCCACUCUAGAACCCAUGCUGGUCAUCCAUAUCCCCAAGGCCCUGGUCAGAACACAGCUAAGCAGAUGGCUUGGGUCAUCAGGACGUCCAUUACAUCCAAAGGAAGACAGCCUGUGACGUUUCAAAAGCAAAAGUCCCCUACCAGCCAGUGAAGCUACCUGAUUUCUCAGUAUCUUACGCCCAGUGACACGAUCUACCCUCAAAACUUAAAAAAAAAAGGGAAACAUAAACACAUAACAGCAGCAGCAAUAAUUAAAGAUGAGAUGAGAACAAUUAAGAAAAAAGGAAAGGUCUCCUGUGACUGUUUUAUUUUUAGGGAAACAGAGAGGAAGAAGAAUGAUUUUUCUUUUGAUGACUCUAUAUCCAACUCUGAGGUUUGAUUAAAGAAAUGACCUUGAACCACAGCAAAGAAAAAUAAAAGACAAUUUCCAUAGAGAUUGAAACUCCUGUGGGAGCCGUGCUCCCUUCAAUAGCAUACUGCUCCAGGAUAAUCCACCCUGUGUCGGAGUUGUGAAAACAGAACUCCUCAGGGAUCUGCUAUAUCCAAACUAUUCCAGAGUCCCAAUUGAUGAGCUUUUAUUGCAAAAGCCAUUGAGAAACAGAUUCUUUUCUCAGUGCUCUUCUGAAGGGUGAGCAAAUCAAUCUUACUUCCUAGAUGUGUCAGCUGAGUCAAGUUACCCAGAAAGAAACACAGGAGAAAUGAGUCCCUGACAAGCCUGGGUGGAAGUUCCGUCCACUGCUGUCAAUCCUGCAUAUUUUGUUCCAAUCCACUAUUUCUUUAAAAUUGCUGAGUAAAAUGUUGGAUAUGACUCAGGCAUCCCGAAAAUCUCAAAUCUCUGAAUAUUCAACAUCAAUUUAAAGAAGACACAAGAUACUGGGCUUUUUUUCCCCAUUGUCAAAAUAUGGGGCGUAUGCCGUUGCAAGUUGAGUAUGUAAAAAACCAUGAUGCUAUUUUAUAGUCAUGGAAUCAAUCAUGAGAAUUCACAGUCUUGUGAACAGGGACUUCUCAUAUUUGAUAAAUGACUUGAUUGCUGUGUUUCUGAUUAGCGGCUUUUCAAUUGCAUUACAAAUGUUGGAAACAUCCAUUAGUCAGUAUUUAGCAACAUUUUAGGAACUGAUUAAAGUGAAUCCGUGUUUCAGAAACAUAGAACUACUUGUGCUGUGAACUCAACAGUGAAGAUAUCCAACAGAUCCUUUGGGAAGAGAGAAAUAGACAAGAAUCUUAAGCCACCUUCCUUUUGUUGUUGUUGUUAGAGACAGUCUCACUGUCACCCAGGCUGGACUGCAGUGGUGUGAUCGUAGCUCACUGCAGCCUCAAUCUCCCAAUCUCAAGCAAUCCUCCCACCUCAGCCUCUUAAGUAGCUGGGACUACAGGUGCACACCACCACACCUGGCUCAUUUUUUUUUCGAAUUUUUAGUAGAGACGAGCUCUUGCUAUGUUGCCCAGGCUAGUCUCAAACUCCUAGCCUCAAGCAGUCCUUAAGCCUCAGCCUCCCAAAGUGCUGGGAUUACAGGCAUGAGCCACUGCUCCCAUCCCAGGCCAUCUUCUGCAUGUAAUUUAAUUUCUGCAGGUUUGCCAGUUGGCUUGUCACUUUUACCCAGAAGUAUCUGAGAGAGAAAAAAAAAAAAAUUAAAGCAGGUGUGGGGCAAGAGGGAAGGCAGACACAAACGCAAUCCAAUGUUAUAGUAGAAGAUCACUGCUUAGACUAUCUCCAUAGUUCAUCUUUGCUUUGGU